CGCUGGCGGCGUGCCUAACACAUGCAAGUCAACUUGACGGAAGGAGCAAUCUGACCGUAGAGUGGCGCAAGGGUGCGUAACGCGUAAGUAACUUGCCCAAGGUAAGGAAUAACGUCGAGAAAUCGGCGCUAAUACCUCAUAAUGCAGCGGAUCCGCAUGGAUAUGUUGUUAAGGUUUACCGCCUUGGGAUAGGCUUGCGUCUGAUUAGCUAGUUGGUGUGGUAACGGCACACCAAGGCUACGAUCAGUAACUGGUCUGAGAGGAUGAUCAGUCACACUGGAACUGAGACACGGUCCAGACUCCUACGGGAGGCAGCAGUGAGGAAUAUUGGGCAAUGCUCGAAAGAGUGACCCCAGCAACGCCGCGUGGAGGAUGAAGGUAUUCUAUAUCGUAAACUCCUGUGAGAGCAGACGAAAGACAGAUUAUUAAUCUGGAUGACUGUAUGCUCAGAGGAAGCCCCGGCUAACUACGUG
This 473-nucleotide ribosomal RNA is filed under the name uncultured bacterium. Its description in RNAcentral is "bacterial SSU rRNA". It matches the Rfam family "Bacterial small subunit ribosomal RNA", at positions 34 to 507 of the family's 1533-position model. The record is from RNAcentral.